UACGAAGGGGACUAGCGUUGUUCGGAAUCACUGGGCGUAAAGCGCACGUAGGCGGAUGUGUCAGUCAGGGGUGAAAUCCCGGGGCUCAACCUCGGAACUGCCUUUGAUACAGCACGUCUCGAGUCCGGAAGAGGUGGGUGGAAUUCCUAGUGUAGAGGUGAAAUUCGUAGAUAUUAGGAAGAACACCGGUGGCGAAGGCGGCCCACUGGUCCGGUACUGACGCUGAGGUGCGAAAGCGUGGGGGGCAAACAGG
Molecule: ribosomal RNA, 253 nt
Filed under: uncultured bacterium
Lineage: Bacteria
Description: partial 16S ribosomal RNA
Rfam family: Bacterial small subunit ribosomal RNA
Source: RNAcentral